Molecule: ribosomal RNA, 253 nt
Filed under: uncultured bacterium
Lineage: Bacteria
Description: partial 16S ribosomal RNA
Rfam family: Bacterial small subunit ribosomal RNA
Source: RNAcentral
GACGAACCGUGCGAACGUUGUUCGGAAUCACUGGGCUUAAAGGGCGCGUAGGCGGGCUGCCAAGUCCGGGGUGAAAUCUUUCGGCUCAACCGGAAAAUAGCCUCGGAGACUGGCGGUCUGGAGGGGGGUAGGGGCAGCUGGAACUUCCGGUGGAGCGGUGAAAUGCGUUGAUAUCGGAAGGAACGCCGGUGGCGAAAGCGAGCUGCUGGACCUUUUCUGACGCUGAGGCGCGAAAGCCAGGGGAGCAAACGGG